CCCCUAGACGUUCUGGGCCGCACGCGCGCUACAAUAAUACGCACAGCGAGUAUCACCGAGCUCGAAAGGGCAAGGUAAACAAUAGAAAAGGUACUGUAAUGGUUAUAGAUCCUUGUAAUUAUUGAUCUUCAACGAGGAAUUCCUAGUAAGUAUGUGUCAUCAUCACGCACUGAUUACGUCCCUGCCCUUUGUACACACCGCCCGUCGCUCCUACCGAUUGAAUGGUUUAGUGAGAUCUUCGGAUUGGCGCCACUGCGGCUCAGCAAUGGGCUCGGUGGAUGCCGAAAAGUUGAUCAAACUUGAUCAUUUAGAGGAAGUAAAAGUCGUAACA
This 331-nucleotide ribosomal RNA is filed under the name uncultured eukaryote. RNAcentral describes it as "partial 18S ribosomal RNA". It matches the Rfam family "Eukaryotic small subunit ribosomal RNA", at positions 1470 to 1796 of the family's 1831-position model. The record is from RNAcentral.